AGAGUUUGAUCAUGGCUCAGGAUGAACGCUAGCUACAGGCUUAACACAUGCAAGUCGAGGGGAAACGACAUCGAAAGCUUGCUUUUGAUGGGCGUCGACCGGCGCACGGGUGAGUAACGCGUAUCCAACCUGCCCAUCACUUGGGGAUAACCUUGCGAAAGUAAGACUAAUACCCAAUGAUAUCUCUAGAAGGCAUCUGAAAGAGAUUAAAGAUUUAUCGGUGAUGGAUGGGGAUGCGUCUGAUUAGCUUGUUGGCGGGUAACGCCACCAAGCAACGAUCGAGUAGGGUCUGAGACGGAAGGUCCCCCANAUUGGAACUGAGACACGGUCCAAACUCCUACAGGAGGCA
Molecule: ribosomal RNA, 349 nt
Filed under: uncultured bacterium
Lineage: Bacteria
Description: bacterial SSU rRNA
Rfam family: Bacterial small subunit ribosomal RNA
Source: RNAcentral